GACGAACGCUGGCGGCGUGCUUAACACAUGCAAGUCGAACGGAAAGGCCCUGCUUUUGUGGGGUGCUCGAGUGGCGAACGGGUGAGUAACACGUGAGUAACCUGCCCUUGACUUUGGGAUAACUUCAGGAAACUGGGGCUAAUACCGGAUAGGAGCUCCUGCUGCAUGGUGGGGGUUGGAAAGUUUCGGCGGUUGGGGAUGGACUCGCGGCUUAUCAGCUUGUUGGUGGGGUAGUGGCUUACCAAGGCUUUGACGGGUAGCCGGCCUGAGAGGGUGACCGGCCACAUGGGAACUGAGAUACGGCCCAGACUCUUACGGGAGGAAGCAGUGGGAAUAUUGCACAAUGGGCGGAAGCCUGAUGCAGCAACGCCGCGUGCGGGAUGACGGCCUUCGGGUUGUAAACCGCUUUCGCCUGUGACGAAGCGUGAGUGACGGUAAUGGGUAAAGAAGCACCGGCUAACUACGUG
This 467-nucleotide ribosomal RNA is filed under the name uncultured bacterium. Its description in RNAcentral is "partial 16S ribosomal RNA". It matches the Rfam family "Bacterial small subunit ribosomal RNA", at positions 28 to 507 of the family's 1533-position model. The record is from RNAcentral.